Molecule: transfer RNA, 74 nt
Filed under: Flavobacteriales bacterium
Lineage: Bacteria; Pseudomonadati; Bacteroidota; Flavobacteriia; Flavobacteriales
Description: tRNA-Gly(gcc)
Rfam family: tRNA
About the family: Transfer RNA (tRNA) molecules are approximately 80 nucleotides in length. Their secondary structure includes four short double-helical elements and three loops (D, anti-codon, and T loops). Further hydrogen bonds mediate the characteristic L-shaped molecular structure. tRNAs have two regions of fundamental functional importance: the anti-codon, which is responsible for specific mRNA codon recognition, and the 3' end, to which the tRNAs corresponding amino acid is attached (by aminoacyl-tRNA synthetases). tRNAs cope with the degeneracy of the genetic code in two manners: having more than one tRNA (with a specific anti-codon) for a particular amino acid; and 'wobble' base-pairing, i.e. permitting non-standard base-pairing at the 3rd anti-codon position.
Source: RNAcentral
GCGAAAGUAGCUCAGUUGGUAGAGCAUCACCUUGCCAAGGUGGAGGUCGCGGGUUCAAAUCCCGUCUUUCGCUC